AGCGAACGCUGGCGGCGUGCCUAACACAUGCAAGUCGAACGUGAAAGGGAGCAAUCCCAAGUAAGGUGGCGUACGGGUGAGUAACACGUAGGUAAUCUACCCCAGAAUCUGGAAUAACCGGCCGAAAGGCUGGCUAAUACUGGAUAGAGCGACGGAAUCCGCAAUUGGGUUUUUCGGGAAAGGGAGCCUGUAAAAAGGCCUUCGUCCUGGGAUGAGCCUGCGUCCCAUCAGCUAGUUGGUGAGGUAAAAGCUUACCAAGGCAAUGACGGGUAGCUGGUCUGAGAGGACGAUCAGCCACAAUGGAACUGAAACACGGUCCAGACUCCUACGGGAGGCAGCAGUGGGGAAUCUUGCGCAAUGGACGAAAGUCUGACGCAGCAACGCCGCGUGAGUGAAGAAGGCCGUCGGGUUGUAAAGCUCUGUCGAGUGGGACGAAAAUGCUUGGAGUUCACAGCUCCAGGAACUGACGGUACCACUAAAGGAAGCACCGGCUAACUCCGUG
This 502-nucleotide ribosomal RNA is filed under the name uncultured bacterium. RNAcentral's name for it is "partial 16S ribosomal RNA". It matches the Rfam family "Bacterial small subunit ribosomal RNA", at positions 29 to 507 of the family's 1533-position model. The record is from RNAcentral.